RNAcentral lists this long non-coding RNA (17978 nucleotides) under Coffea arabica (coffee). RNAcentral's name for it is "long non-coding RNA (CARA_LNC007506)". Lineage: Eukaryota; Viridiplantae; Streptophyta; Magnoliopsida; Gentianales; Rubiaceae. The record is from RNAcentral.
GUACGGAGUGGUUGAUAAUCAUCAUCCCUUGGAUUUUCCGCCAAAUGAUCAGCUAUAGCUUGCCCCUUGACAGCUUUCUGUGAAGUGAAAACAAUAUCAAAUUCUGAGAGAAUUAUCUGCCAUUUCGCCAGACGCCCAGUCAACAUCGGCUUCUCCAAAAGAUACUUCAAAGGAUCAGAUCGGAAAAUAAGAUAAGUGGUAUGGCUCAACAGGUAGUGUCUCAACUUUUGGGCUGCCCAGGCCAAUGCACAGCAGCUUUUCUCAAUGAAUGAAUAAUUAGCCUCGUACUGCGUGAACUUUUUACUUAGAUAAUAGAUGGCUUGCUCCUUCCUUCAAGAGUCAUCGUGCUGACCUAGAACACACCCUACUGCUCCAUCGAGUACAGAUAAAUACAUAAUCAAAGGUCGGCCCGGUUUGGGUGGCACUAAGACUGGUGGAUGCAACAAAUAAUCUUUAAUCUUGUCAAAAGCCUGUUGGCACUCCUCAUUCCAAUACAACGGCACGUUCUUUCUCAAUAAUUUGAACAACGGCUCGCAUGUGGCAGUUAGUUGGCCAAUGAACCUCCCGAUAAAAUUGAUCUUCCCUAAAAAGCUUUUCAAGUCCUUCUGAGUUUUUGGCACUGGCAUGUCUCGAAUUGCUUUGAUUUUUGCCGGAUCUAUUUCUAUGCCCUUCUUGCUAACAAUGAAUCCCAACAGCUUACCCGCAGGUGCUCCGAAGGCGCAUUUUGCAGGAUUUAGCUUCAAAUUGUACUUCCGUAACCUCUCGAAUAAUUUCUUCAGAUCAACCAAGUGGUCCUCUGCCCUUUUAGACUUGAUUAUAAUAUCAUCCACGUAGACCUCCAUCUCCCGGUGGAUCAUAUCAUGAAAUAGGGUUGUCAUGGUCCUCUGAUAUGUUGCCCCUGCAUUCUUUAAACCGAAAGGCAUGACUCGGUAGCAAAAGGUACCCCAAGGGGUAAUGAAAGUAGUCUUCUCCCUAUCCUCCUCUGCCAUCAAAAUUUGGUGGUAGCCAGCAAAACAAUCGCAAAAGGUUUCAAUCUCAUGUCCGGCCGUAUUGUCUAAGAGAAUGUGAAUAUUUGGUAGAGGGAAAUCAUCUUUAGGACUGGCUUUAUUGAGGUCUCUAUAAUCAACACAAACUCGCACCUCUCCACUCUUUUUUGGAACAGGGACUGGAUUUGAAAGCCAAAUUGGGUAAUGGGAAACAAUGAUAAUGUUGGUUUUGAGUUAUUUUUCAAUUUGCUCUUUUAUUUUGAGGCUUAUAUCUGGUUUGAAUUUUCUGGGUUUUUGUUUUACGGGUGGAAAAAAAGGGUCUGUGGGUAACCUAUGCACUACCACGUCAGUUGAAAUGCCAGUCAUAUCAUCAUAGGACCAUGCAAAAACAUCUUGAAACAUAGUCAAAAAUUCAAGCAUCUCCUUUUUCUGCCUUUCAUUCAAGUGAAUACUGAUCUGCACCUCCUUAACUUCAUCCUCAGUGCCAAUGUUAACCUUUUCUGUCUCUUCCAGGUUCGGUUAUGGUUUUUCCUCAUAUUGUUCAAGGUCCUUUGCAAAAGAAUCGAAUACCUCCUCAUUAUCACUCUCGCUUUGGAGUUCGGAUUCACAGACCUCCAAGUCGUGAGUGAUAUAGAGAUAUGGUUUAUCGUAUUCCAGAACUGUGAUAUCCAAAGGGUCAAAUAAUUUUAUUUUUGGCCAUCUGAAAGAAUUAACGAAUGUGGGACAAUAAGCAAAUAAGCAUACAACAAACAAAUGAACAAACAAUAUGAAUAUAAACAAGCGAAUAAAUAACACAACAUGCCAAGAACAACUUGUGCAUUUUCAUAAAACCUUUGAUUGAAAGCAAAACAAAAGAAAGCAAGCGGAAACAAUAUCUAUAUGUGCAAAUUUUAGUCAAAAGUAAAGAUGCUUUCAUUAACUAUUUACAGAUGCAAAAGUAUUUUUUCCAUGAAUAUGAAUGAUAAACCCCUUUCAUUUUACCGAAACUCCUUCCGAACGGGCAGGGACUCGGCUGUCCAAUUGGGAAUUGAUCCUUCGGGGAUAUCAGGAAAUUCAGCUUCGCCUGGAACACUAUCUUCAAAUGUUGCCCCUACGAACAAUUGGGCCAAACUAGCUUCAAUUUCUUCAACUGGAUUAACCUCUGAUGUGAUAACCUCUGUUGGUCGUGGAAAAGUAUACCGCAGUGGUGGAAUAUCAAAAACCCUUUGCCUGCCCUCUUUCUCUGCUCUUUUGCGCUCCUUCAUCUCUUUGAUGUCCUUGGCGGUUGGUUGGAAACCCAAACCGAAUGUAUCCCUUUUUUCCAUAAUCUCCACUGGCUUCAAGAUCCCUUGCAGUUCACGCCCCAAUCCUCUGUCUAAUUUGUAUCCUCCACGAAUCAUUUUCUUAGCCAUCAUUACACUUGCUUUUGAGAGAGCUUGUUCCUCCGUUGUGAUCCAACUUACGGAGAUUAUAUCGGAUGUGCUAUGAGGGGACAUGGUGGCACUUCGACUUCCCUCCUCUUUAGAUCCAGAAUCAGUGAUUACCAGGCAGUCCUCUUCGGCAAAGAUAGUGAUUAGCUUGUCAUUUACUACGAAUUUCAGCAAUUGAUGCAAUGAAGAUGGCACAGCCCCAGACUUGUGAAUCCAUGGCCUUCCAAGUAAAAUAUUGUAAAUGCUCGGGAAGUGCAUUACUUGGCAAGUUAUUUGAAAUUGGGCGGGCCCCAUCUCGAUUACUAAAUCUGCCUCUCCUAUCGGCUCCCUUUGAGCUCCAUCAAACCCUCGAACGAUAGUCCCUGAAGGCCUCAGCUUAAUGUCUUGCAAUCCUAGCUUCUCCAAGGUACUCCAAGGACAGAUAUUAAGCGCGGACCCGUUGUCAAUUAGCACCUUCGGCAGCAUUUUCCCGUUGCACCUCACUGUUAUGUACAACGCCCUAUUAUGUCCAAUGCCCUCUGUCGGCAAUUCAUCGUCAGAAAAAGCAAUUUGUUUGUUGAAUAAUACGCUCCCAACCACGUUUGAAAAAUUAUCAACAGAGAUGUCCCUCGGAAUUUGAGCUUUAGUUAAUACGUCGAUCAAUACAUCCCUAUGCAUGUCUGAAGAGAAAAGUAAAUCCAGCAUGGUUAUCUGGGCAGGUGACUUGCUUAGCUUUUCGAUUAUGUUGUAUUCACUUCUCUGGAGUCGUUUAAGGAAAUCCACGGCUUCUUUCUCGGUGAUUACUGGCUUAAUGGGCGGCUCGGAAUUAGCUUGAAUCGGAAUAGUAGUUUCAAAUGGACUUACAGUCUUCCCCGAUCUGGUAACCACUGACACCUCUUUCUUUGCAGUUGAAUUUUCCCCGAUCUGUAUGGUAGGUUCAUCGUAAUUCCACGGUACUUGUUGCAGACUCAAAACGGGCUCCUGCUCAGGGAAUUCGAUGAAUACCGGCUUCAAAGCUUCACUUUCUGCUGGCGUAAGAUCCAAGACAAAAGGUUUGUUAUCUUCUCCGAAUGGUAAUUCUAUGACGAAUGGUUGGUCUGUGACCCCAAAUACUUCAGCUUCCCUCGCCAAUUUUUUGACUUGUUCUUCGUACUCCGCAUCGUCCAGAAUGACCCCAACGUGCUCUGGCAAGGGGUUUUGAUUUACGUUCGGCCCUUGUGCCUCCCUUUUUCGGAUUACAAUCUCCCCGGUUUCAACCAUAUCUUGGAUUUUAUGUUUAAGCGCCUUGCAAUCAAAGGUGGCAUGUCCGGAGGCCCCAGAAUGAUAAGCACAGACAGCUUGUGGAUUAUACCACGCGGGCAUGCCAUAUGGGUAGGUAGGAGGGGGCACCGUACCAAUUUUCCCGGCGGCCUUCAAUUGUUCAUACAAUUGAUCCAGAGGCCUGCCUAGGUUGGUAAAUGUACGGCUAGGGGGUCGGUUGUAAGGUUCAGGAGGUGGAGGAUGAUUGUAAACAGGUCUAUUUGGUGGAGGAAAUCUUGGAUUAUAUGGAAGGCGAGGUCGGUUUUGGGGUGGAUUUGGUUGGGAAAUUGGAAAAGGGGCUGAAGGUGGGUUAGGAUAGCUUGGGCGAGGUCGAGGGUGGUGGAUGUUGGUGGUAUAUACGGGAUGUGGGUUUGAGUAGUAAGGGUAAUGGGGUUGGUAGAUUGGGCUGUGUUGGUAUCGGGGUCUAGGCGAAGGGUUUUGGUUCCAAAUAAAUGUUGCGUCCCCCUCUUUCUUUUUGAACGGCGGCUUUUUCACAUUGCUUCCUUGACCUUGUAAAGCAUCCAACUGAGAUUUCAGGGCAGAGACAUUGACAAUCUUCCCGGCUCUCACAAAGUCGUCAAACUCUUCCAAUUUAUUCACAAUUGCAGCAAAAGAACAUCCAGUCAUACGGAAAAUUUCUUCGAAAUAUGGAGGAUCAUGCGCCUUUAUGAAUGUGCGAAUAAUUUCAUCCUCAGUCAUCGGUGGCUCCACCUUCGCAGCUAUCUUUCUCCAUCUCUUGGCAUAUGUCUUAUGAUCUUCAGAUGGUCGCCUUUUCGUUCCUUCCAGAGUAGUCCGGGUUGGCGCUAGCUCACAGUUAUACUCAUAUUGUCUAAUGAAGGCAUUGGACAGAUCGAGCCAGGUCUUCACUUCCUCCGGCUUUAGGUUGGAAUACCAGUCAAGCGCAUCCCCUUCUAAGCUUUCUGGAAAUAAUCUCAACGGCAAAUUCUCGUCAUCCACUGGCUUGCCCAACUUGUUAGCAAACAAGCGCAGGUGCGUUUUAGGGUUGCUUGUUCCAUCAUAUUUGUUGAAUUUAGGGGUCUUGAACCCCACCGGCAAUUGCACGUUCGGAAACAGGCACAAAUCAUCAUAAUCCAACAACCCUUGUUUGCUUAAACAUUGGCUUUUCCGGAUGAAUUCAUCAAAACGAUCCAAGCGUUUAAGUAGCUUCAUAUCAAUCUGGGCAGACGACUCUCCCAUUUCUGGCUUAUUUUGAAAAGUGUGCUCCGGCACCACGGGCUCCGCGGUAGUCUGGUAAAAAGUUUGUGGAUUCGGGUGCAUGUUUGGGUCGAUUUGAGGCUGAAACCCUUGCCCAUAAGGAGGAUAGAACGGAGGAUUUUGAGUAUAAGCAUAUUGCGGGUUGACAAUUCCCUCAAACGUGGUUUGCAUUGAAGGAAUAACAAAUGGUAACGUGGUCUGGCUGGGAGGAAUAACAAAUGGUUCAGAUUGUGGUUGUGUGGCGGGCACAGGCUCAGGUUGCACUCCGCUACUAACGAGUUCAUCGAUUAACCUCUUUUGAGCGGCCAUUUCGGAUGCCAUUUCCCCAAAUUUUGCGAGUAAUUCAGUCAACUGAAUCCCAGGACUUGCGGCUUCCGGCUGUGUAGUUGCAACGGCCUUAUCGGACGAUUCUGGUUGAGUACUCGUGUCUACACGAUUCCUUUGGGCUCUACUUCAGGAUCGCGUAAUAAUGGGGCUUUUCCGAAAAGCUAUUUUGAAAAUUUACCUGAGAAUGCAAAAAACUGCUUUAGAUAAACCAAUCGUUACUGAAUUUCUGCAAUUUAUUCAAAAGAGAAAAAGAAAAAGAAAAAGACAUGAGUUAGUAGCUAUUCGAACAAUUCGGAUGCAUGUCCUAGUUGGGGAACCCUUUUUGUGCCAAGGGUAGGCCUAGCAUGAUGCAACACCUUCGGAAUGAGACCCAUUAAUCAAACCUGUUAUUUGACAAACACUUUGUGAAGAGGGAAGAGAUUCAUUUCAUUGCAGAAACCAGAUACAUCUGUUUACAUCAUAUCGCGAAGGCGAUUUCGUACAAGAUCACCAAAGUUCCUAAGCCUAUCUAGUACAGAGUCUUUACUUUCUCUAGCAUAUGGCAUCUUGACACGUUCGGCUUGAUCAUAUAAUUCCCCACAUUUCUGCUUCAUCUCUUGGCGCCUUUCUCGCUCCUUCUCAUAUAACCUCUUGUUUUCUUCUGCCUUUCCUUUGUGCACUUCGAUGGAUUUCUUCAACUGUACCACCUCCAUGUCCUUGGCUUUAACGAUGGCUCUCAGCUUCUCAAUUUCCUCAUACGGUUCAUGUUGCAACCCUUGCGUGGUGGAAUCUUUCAACCAAUCCUCGUAUGGUGCGGUCAUUACCCCCUUCUGUUUGAGCUCCGGAAGAUAACGAAUGCUUCGAUCGUCGGAUAUUGUUCUCCAAGAUUCAGUGAUUUGGCUCUUCAUAGGGAUCUCUUUUGGGCAUACCCCCUGAUCAAAGAAAAUGGUGACUUCACUAAACUCGGAAAUCGGUGGCGGCCCCUGAAUGCGACCUAGUUGUCUGAGAAAUCUUUUCGGGGUAUAAGAGAUGAUUCCUUGAGUUCCCAGCAAGAGAACACGUUCAGAUUCCUUAGUGCGAAGUAUCAGCUCAAAGCAGUCUGUCCAAUCUAAUACCCACCUAAUGUUGAAAUCUUGCAAUGUUUCCAAGUAAUCCACACAUUCGGAUGCGUUCUUAGGUAGAUCUCCCUCGUUGACUCUUUUGGGAUGUGUGAUUACCCAAUUAUAUCCAACCACCGGCAAACUAUCGGCAACUGAUGCUUGUCUCUUAAAAUGUUCCGUAGCCCAUAUGUAUAAAACCAAGUUCGCCCCAUGGAAAAACUUUUCUCCAUUUCGACAACCAGUACAAGCUAAGAAAAUAUCUGCGAGAAUGGUCGGUACUAUGGAACAUUGCUUACCCUGAAUUCCUAAGAAAAGGUCAUUCACAAUUUUUGCUGAUUUAAAGGCUAUCUUUUGAUCUUUUCGCGGAAAGAGAUAGGUCCCAGCCAUAACUACCCCAUAUACUAGUAGCCUUUUGCGCUCCCAUACGGCUUUGGAAGUGAACACAAAAUCCGUCACAUGCCUCUCGAAUCCAUCGCGUGGCGCAAAUCGUUCAAACAGAAUAUUCACGGCGACGCCCUGAUCUGACCCUCGUAGCACGGACUCUUUCAAUCCUAUAAUUUGACAAAAUUCGGCCUUGUCGGAAGCAAAUGGAAACACCAAGGCAGUUCCUCGUGUGGGUAAACCAAGGAGGCCAGCUACUUCUUCGAGUGUUAUAGUCAUUUGCCUAUUGCCUAUUCUAAAAGCAGUACACUCGGGGUCCCAAAGAUGAACUAAAGCCUCUACCAAAUAAUUGUUGGAUUUGAUCUGCUUAAAGUCUCCAAUUGGUCCUAAAAAUUGGGCUACUUGAUUCAGUUCACUAGGUAACAUGAAGGUGGGCCAUUGUUGAACCUCAGUUGACGGUAUUAACAAUUGGUAGAUGCGGCGAGGGCAAGCCAUCUGAUAAUGAAGAAGGUAGUUUGUCAAUUACCUUACCUACGAGUCUCAUUCCUCCAGUUAUGCGAUAAUUUAAACGUGCAGUCCCUUGAAGGGUUAAAUACCCAUGGGACACAAAAGGGUUGGUUUUAUUCCUAAAACGGGAUUCCCUACGUGGCGUUCCCUUUCUAGGGUUUAUGCAUGAUGCCAUUUUAUUAAAACAAUAAAAUAUGCAAUUUGAAAUGAAACGUGACCUAAGGAACCCUUUAUUUGCCAGGGUAGGCCUAAAACGGUAUGGCAUUAUGAAUUUAUGAACAAAAUAAACCAUAAUUUGUCAAACGUACAAUAGCCUAUCUACAAGGGUAGGUCCUAAAAGAAGGUCAUGCCAGACCUCUUAUUUCUUAAUGUUUGUGAAUGCCAAAGACAAAAAACAAGGAAACGUGAGCUCAACACAUAAUCACAUAACACAUUUGGACAAAUAGAUAAUAUAAAAGGCAAUAAAGAUAAAUAAGAAAAGAGGGUUGGGACCCCUCCCCUCGUGAAUAGUGUCCCUAGUUCAGGAUAAUGGCUGACUCUACCCUAGGCAAUUCUAAUAUGGAUGCAUGAGGCUUGGCUUACUAAUGCAUCUAGACUCGAUAGGUCAUAGGCCCCCGAGCCUUCAGACUUAGAAACCAAGGGUCAUCAAUCCCAAGGUUCUUUGUCGGUGGCUCGAGCGAUUCCCCAAACACCGCUACGCACACAUCGUGUCACGGCUACGUGUUUGAGUGAAUCUAUCAAAACCUCAAUCUUCGACCAAAAGCUAAAGGCUAUCAACCAAUAGCUUUAAGCGGAAGAUUGAGUGACCCAUUGGAACAUGCUACACACACAUCGUGUCGUGAUCACAUGUCCAAAUGAGUCACCUAAUCCUAAUAGGGUGGAGUGGCAUGACAAGCCACUAAAGAAAAAUAAAAGGGAUAAAAGAAGUAAAGCGUAUGCUCGUAUGCUAGUGCUCGUUUGGAGGGGAAGGGUCAAGAACCAACGCGAGGCUCUAGGGUGACCCAUACCUCCCAAAAAUGCAAUGCAAGUGCGAGAUAAAAAGUAAACAUUCAUUCAAACAUACAUUCGUGAGUCGAGGGAUUGGUUUGAUUACGUAUAUAAGACAAAAGGUCCUAAAAAUGAAAAAUGCAAUCCUAAUAUCCACAUGCCAUGCAUAGAAAGGGUAGAAAGAGGAAACGAAUGGUUAAGUAAAAAAUGCUUGGACCCACUUAGGAAGUCCCCAGUGGAGUCGCCAACUGUCGCGCCCCAUUUUUUGAUAAAUAAAAAUAAUGGUUUGAGAAAGAUGUUUUUGAUUCAAUUUUGAUUGGAAAAUGAUUUUUGUGAGUUGAAAAAGAUAUGGGUCUAAUAUGGGACUUGAAAAAGCGACGAUUUGACCCAAAAAAUAGUUUUUAAAAGGGUUUUUGAAUGAGAAAUUGGAGUCGCCACUUGGUAAUGAUUAAGGUGUACCAAGUCACCUAAAAAUAAAUUUUUAAAGACAAAGUAGUAAAACCCUUUUAAAAACGACUCCUAGUCCACGUAAGCCAAAGAAAAAGGUUCGGGAGUCACGUUUGACAAAGGGGAAGGCAAGGAUAGAAUCCAAGGCACCCCUUUGACCUAGCCAAGGCUAGUUGCGCGACUUAACCUUACCUUUCCUAAUUUUCUACCCAAUGUAUGUUCGCACGUUGGAUAUGACUAUAUGAAAGCAAAACGGAAAGGAAAAUGCAAUCCUAAAUUCUACAAUAUCUCUUGUGAGGCUUUUGGUCCCAAACCACAUGAAUUGUGGCGGCCAACAAAGGAAAACCUCAUAGAGGUCGAUUAAUGCAAAUGAGAGUUCAAAUUCAAGUGUGCAAGUGUGAAAGUGUAUGAAAGAUGCAAAAAAUGUAAGUGCAAGUGUGCGAAUGUAUAAAAAAGGUGCAUGUGUGAAAUUGUAUAAAAUUCAAGUGUUUUUUGUGUGCAAGUGUGUGAAAAUAGAAUAAUAGAUAUAUAAAGUAAAGUGGAAUUCCAUUUAUGAGGUGAAAAUGAACGCGUGAUAGGAAAAAUAUAGUGAGAAAGUAUGGUUUUGAGAAAUGUGAAAAAAUGUGGUUAAAAGAGUAUGUAGAUGAUAAAAAUGAAAGUAUGACCCUAGAGGAAUGCAACAAGUCGGGUACGGGGGGUUGACUCCUAACUUUUCGACUUCUAUUUUCCCUUUGAUUAGAAGGCGAAACUAGCGUGCUAAGGCUAUCGAGUAGCCACACUCGCUCGUUUCCCUUAUCAAGAGGGGAUUUUCACGCAAAUGAACCCUAACUAGCAUGAGAUGCAAGUCCUAAAGUGAAGGGGAAGGGGUUUGAGGAACAUACCAAAUGAUAAACUAAGGAAAAAUGCGUGAUAUGUGGUGAUCAUGCACUUCAUGAAAAAGGAAAAAAAAAAAAACCUAUUGGGUCUAGCAUUGGACUAGCCCCUCCUAUGAAUUCCGACUAGCGUUGGACUAGUGGAAACGAUAAAAGAAGCCACAACUAGCGUUGGACUAGUGUGGUGACGUACAUUCAUCCAUUCCAUUCAUCCACACUAUAAAAAGCGAGUAGACAUGCGAAUCACUUAUAAACACGUAGCACAUAACACUUAGCAUGCUUGACUAGAUGCAAAAUCCUAAUAAAGCAUUAAACACAUAGCAACAAAAGCAAACAUCUAAACUAAUGAACCUAUUUACAUUUGCUAACUAAAACAAAAGGGGAAGGGGAAAAUGGACCAAAUUGCUCACCAAGCCCUAUCUAUUACAAGCCAAGAGGUGUACACAUACCCCAUAAUGAAUAACUUAAACAAAAAUAAAAGUAAAUGAAAUAAAUGCAAGGAAUUAAGAAAGCAAAGUAGACAUGCAUAUUCAUGUAACACGUAGGAGCACGUAGGAGAGAGGUAAAAAGGAUAAAAGAAAGUUAUACCUUCCCCCGCUUGUGAAGCUAGUAAAUGGAAAAGGUUCUAAUUUGGGCUAAAACCAUUAAACAGAGGAUUAAUGCACCAAUUUAAUAGUAAAUCAAACAACACAAAUUCUUCAAAAACAAAACUUAAGGAACCACUAGUGGCUAUAAAAUUUAACCAUUAAGUUCUUCAAAUAAUCAAACAAGUCCAUACUCAUCAAAUGGAAUUCCAAUUUGAACAUUAAAGAAAAUUUGAAGGACCAAAUUGAUUAAUCUUUUCAAUUUCUUGGGCCAUAGUGCAACAAAAAGAACUUGAGGGGGUUAAAAGGCAAUUUUUGAAAAGACUUCCAUGCAUGCAUACGAGACAAUUCAGCUUCUGCAACAACAAGAAGAUUUCGGCAGCUAAGCUAGCUCAUCCGCAGCUUCAUCCAUGAAACUUUGGCUAACCAAACGUUAAAUUAACUCUAAUUAAAGCAUGCUUAAACAUCACCUAAUCAAAGUAGCUCUUAAAAGAAUUUCUUGCAAACUUAUGUAACAAAGAGCUCCUGCCAAAAAUAAAAGUUGCUGCACUCCUGUUUGCAAACCAACUCAAAGAUUACUGCAAUUUCAUCUUCGACCAGAUUUAGGCAAAGAACUAACGCAACCUUUGGACACAUUCUAUCAAACAAUACCCAAACUUUGAGUCAAGCAACACAACACACAACUUGAUCUCCCUAAGUUGCUGUUACUGAAAAAAAAGAAACCUGCUGUGUUUUUCAAUCUUGCGGCCAUUUUUAUUUCAUGCAAAUGGAUAUCGAACUCAACACCAAUUUUUUCACAGCCCUCCAACCAAACCCCCAAGAAAACUAAUUUAGCAUCAUGACACACAAGUUUAACAUUCAAAACAAUCCAACCAUAGAAGAACAAUCAUGCCAAUGCUGAAAAAUCCUAUAUGAAAGGUUCGGCACUUUAAAACCAGCUUUUCAAACAUAAACACAUCCACAUACAAUUAUCAUACAAUCCUCCCAUUUUGUAACAUGACACCCGUAGACUCAAACACCAAGAUGGUCGAACAACAACUAAGCAAAAUCUGAACAACUUUAGUACUAAGACAUUUCUGCCACAAAAAGAAACUCUCGACAGACAAUUAGAGCAUGAGGAAUUCCAGCAACCUGGUACGGCUAACAAAACUUUAACAAGGAGAGAGAUUUAAAAUCCAAGCUCAUACUAGACCUUAAGAAUACACAGCCAAGAUACUAUGUAAGAGAGAGACAGAGCAAGAGGAAAGAAAAAUGGUUUCAGCCCAUUUGUGGUCACAUCACUCAAACAACAUCAUCCAUUUCCCGAAGAUUCAAACAUGUCAUUAAUCAAGGAAGAUGCAGAAAAGGAAGAAACUUGCGACAGAUUGAAAUUAGAUUCAUUGAAAGUUACUGCCUUUCUAGCCAAAUCAUCUAAUCAUUGAACAUCCAAUUGCCAUAAAGCUUUCAAAUGCUCACAAAUUUCUCGAAAGUAUCAGGAACCAUAGACAAAUAAACUAACAGAUGCAUGUACAAGGAAAGAAACAAGAAGCAGCCGUGAUGAACUCAAACUUUCACAGGAUUAUGCUGAAAUGAUAAGAAACAGAACGGGUUUACCUCACACGUUGCUUCUGAAAAAUGAAAACCCAAGAAUUGCUUGAUGCAGGAACUCUUUCGUUGAUGAAGUCGCCCCUCCUUUCUUAGUUUCCUCUUGCUUGGUUUCUUCUCCUCAGAUCAUAGCCUUCCAGAUUCUCCUCCAGAUGUCAACCAGCUUUCCUUUCAUCGGUCGUUCUUUCCUCCUCUCGAGCUCUCUCUCUUUCUCUCCUGCUUUCUGUUAGCUGUCCACUCAAAACCUCUCUCCGUAGCUUUCUUCUUUUCCUACGCCAUCAACCAGAAUCUCUCUCUCGCUCCCCCCUUAAUCUCUCCCUCUCUCUCUUUUUUCUGUUUUUUUUCCCUUGAUUUUCAGCCGUUCCUUUCUCUCUAAAACCCUGUCGGCUGCUGCUCUCUCUGUUGCCUUUUAUAUGGAACUCCUAGGUUCCUAAACCCUCAUACGAAGGGUGCUGAUGAGGGGUUUGUCCUUGCCUUCCAUCCAGCCCUUCGAUGGUGCUGCUGAAAUUAUGCUUGGCACGCUGCAAAAAAUUGCAGCGUGCAUGAUGCGGUUUUUUUUUUUAACUAAUUAAUUAAUUAAACAACAAAAAUGAUAAUAAUAAAACAAUAAUAAUUAAUGAUGAAAACAACUUAAUUAACAUUAGAUAAAAAUAAACUAAAAACAACAAAAAUGCAAAUUUCCAUUUUUUCAUUUUUCUCAUUUUUCACCUUUUUUUUUUAAAAAAUAACUUAAUAAAAUAAAAUGCCAAAAAGCUGAAUUUAAAAGAAAUAAACAUAUUUUUGUGAACAAAUUUUCCUUUUCUCUUUUUUCUCAUUUUUCCAAUCCAACUAAAGCCUAUUUUUUUUGAAUUUUUCUUCUUUUUCCUCUUUUUCUUUAAUUUUCUCUUUUCUCCUUUUUUUUUUAUAAUUUUUCAUUUUCAUUUUUCCUUCGAGAAAGCAUUGAAUAAAAACAAAAAGACUAAAACAUAUUUUUGAUGUUUUCCUUUCUUUUUUUUUUUCUAAAAAACUCUAUGCUAAUCUUAAACUAAAGCUAAAACUAAAAACUAAAACUAAAAGUAAAUAAGAAUAAAUAGCAAAUGAAAUAGGUCAACUUAAAGGGCGAAAAUGAAUAAAAUUAAAAUAUCAUAACAACUAAUAGUGCAAAACACACAAUGACGAACUAAAAUGCAAGCAAUCUAAAAAUGAAAAUCAUGAAAUAGAUGAUGCAUACAAUUAUUCAAAAUUUGGUGUCUACAGAAACCAUAGCUUCUCUAUGAGUGAUAAGAUCUGAUAUAUUUGAAAUCAAGUACUAUGAUUGUCUAUUUGUUUACUGAUAAUGGUUUUAUUGUCAUGUUCUAGGUUCAAAGCAUUAGCUCUAAUGCUAAGAAGAUAGCAAGAAGAGCAGUGAAUAAAGCUGUACAAUUUUCUUCUAACUUGAAUUUGAUUUCAUAAUCUUACCAACAUAACUACUACACAUACUCAUUAGUCAUACCACUAUUGUGCAGGGAAAAGGCACAAACGUGCAAGAAAGAAAGCAGCUUCAUCCCAAAGUAGCCAACAAGCUAUUGAGAACAACGUUAUUGAGUAUUUCUUCCGCACAUAAUUUCUUCUGCCCCUACUGCUAAACCGAACUUAUAUGAGGUUUUUGGAACUCCAAAUCCAUAUGUGGCAUUUAUCAAUCCAUAGUUGGUCCCUUUGCUUUUGCACCGUUUAUAAUCAGGGAUGUUAAAAUUCAUCUCAAACUCCCAAGGACCUCUUGGCUAACUUCUAGUAGUGAAUAUGGUGACAAAUCCAAUGUUAAAGGAAAAGCAAAGGUGAGCUAAUUAUGUACUUCUUUUGUUGAUGACUGUGCUAUAGGUGUGGAUACAUAUGUAUUUCUUUUGUUGUAUUGGAAGUAAUGCAGCCAGAAUUCAUGACAAUAUAACCAUGUCUAUUUAUAUUUUAUAAAGAAUUUGGGCAAGGAAAAUAUGCCUUUUUGAUGGUUGUAAUGACUAAAUUGCCAGAUUAUGUUAUGUUUUCAUAGUUAUUAAUGAUUUCUGGGAAGAAUUGCUGCAGUUUCCUUUCUCAAUUGAGUUAUGAAUAUCUAGGUAUCAUUUAUGAAUGCACUUGUGUUUUACAGGGAUAAUUUCAAAAUAAUGCCUUCAUUUGGCCUCUAAAUUGCCAUCACUUUACAUGUGUAAUAAGAUGCUUGACAGAUAUUUACUAAUUUGAAUGUUAAAUCACUGUUAAAUAAAGGCUCAAAAAUCUUGAAAGAUUGAUCGUUUUGGCAUCAAGAAAUGUCCACUACAGUUUACAAUACAUACUAGCAAGAUAAUACAUCCCAGCCUACACAUUCACCCACUCCAAGCAAAAACUAAAAAAUUUUGAAUGAAUGUGUUUUAGCUAUUAGCUUGAACCACAAAAUGAUCACUAGUAGCUUGUUACAAUAUGCUAAACCAAAGCUAUUCCAUCCUAAUUUCUGGAUUUUUACACCAGCAAAAUAAACAACAACAAUACCAACAACACAAUUGCACAUACUAAUUUUCUUUCCUUGCUCUUAAUCUUUCAAUUGUGGCAUCCUUAGCAUUCUUGCUCCGUAGCAAACCAGGUCUCAAAGCAAUGGAUCUUUGGCACAUUACCGGAUCCUACCACUCGAAAUAGUUGCAACCUUGUUCAUCUCUUCUGCCCUUCACAGUCAAGAAAAUAAUGUUUUAGAAAAAACUUCAAAUUCGAAAGCUGAAGCAAGAAUUUGAGAUGGCCCAUACCUUCUUCAUGCCACAACUGAAAUACCUUCUUCCAGGGCUAUUGUGUGUCCAAGAGGUAAUCAUCAUUACUUGCAACUUACAGUGGCAAAACUUUUAUAGUACCAUGACUACAUAAAAUGAGAUUAGAAGACAAAUCUGUCAAAAUUUUGCCACAAGUGUGAAUGGAUGAAGGAAACCCGAAGCUCUUCAAUCCCAAUCUCGACAAGUCUUUGUUUCUUAAAAGGUGAAUUUGACUACAAAGGGUUUUUCUUCAGUUGGGGAAGAACAGAGAGAACGAAAGAAAGAAAGUAAGUUUGGGUAUUUUGUUCUUCCACACAGCAAUAACCUAAUUAUACAGUACACUAAUACUAAUUAAUAUAAUCAACUCCAUCUGCUGAUUGUGUCUUGUCUUUGUUAAUAAAAAAAGGGACUAGAAAGCUUGAAAUAAUUUUUUACAAGUUUCCACUUUUAAAAAAUUGAAAAAGAGAUUUUAAGUCCCGGCACGUGCUCUCACAUGACUUGUUUCCGGCAAAAAAUUGAAGAAAACCCAUCAAUUGCCCACUUUUGAGCAAAAUUGGAUGGAUUGGGGACCACAUUUGUUUUUAAAAAUAGAUUGGGGACUAAUUUCGCGUAUGGGUUAUAAAUUGGGACCAAAACUCCAAUUCUUCCCCUCCUCCCCCCUUUUAUUUAUAGAAAACAAGAAUAAUUGUGAUAAUGAGAUUGUAGGAAUUCGUCUCGUACCAUUUGUUUGACAAAGAUUGGUGGGGAGUUUCAAAAAAAUUUGGCAAAGUUGCCCGAUUUUGCAAAGUGAGUUAAACUAUGCACAACCUCAUUAACUUGUCUAGCAAUCCAAUUUACAUUAGUAAUAUCGUGUUCUAACAAAGUUAAACAAACAUCCUCAAUUAUCAAGCCAAUAUCCAAUAGAAUGUUUUCAUUACUUUGGAUAAGUUUGAUAGCUGAGAAUGCAUCCCCUUCCAAAAUGUAACUUGGCAAAUGAAUGGAACCAUCCUAUAUCUACUUGAAGACAUAUGGAUGCUUUCAACUUUCAAGUUGGUUUUUUUUCUUCUUUGCUUCAAACUCCAUUGCUUUAAACGUUUUAAACUUUUUUCCCUUGAGUAGUUUGCUUGGUUUGAGUUGUUAAUUGUUCAUUUUGAAGUAAUUCGGGAUGCAGAAUUAGAGAUAAUUUAUAUAAGUUGUCUUUUUAAAUUUAAUUAUGUAUAUUUGUUGAAUAGUUUGAAGGCUUAUUUUAAAAAGAGGCAUCUUCAUUUAUGAUUUUAGUUAUCUGCAAUUAGGGCUAAAAGCAUUAAACCCCUCAAUUUUGCCUUAGUUGCACUUUAGUCAUUUCAACUCAAGAAAUGGGCACUUUACCCCUUAUUUUUGUUUUAGGACAACAAUGCCCCUUCUAUAUUAUUUAUUAUUUUGUUUAUUUUUCUCCUUUUUGGCCCUUUUCUACUUGUCCAUUUUCUUUAUAUUUUUAAAAUUUUCUCCCUUCUCUCAUGUAAAUAACUAUUAUCUUCUCGUUGUUAUUAAUAUCUAUAUAUUAAUUAAUGUUCUAAAACUUAUUCUUUGUUUAUUCAACCUUUUUUUUUGUUUUGGAAGUAAUAAUGAUCAUAAAGUUUCCGCUAUAACAAAGUAUAUGCUAUCUAUGUGAAUAGACUAUUUCAUAUAUUACUUAAAUCAAUAUGUCUAGAGCAUAAAAUAAAAUAAAUUUUAAUAACAAUAGUAUAAUAUUCAAAUCGUAAUGACAUAGUGAUUAAUCAACUAUACAUAAAAAUAAAAAUAAUAUUUUCUUUAUUUUUUGAGGUAAAUUUUAAAUGUUAAGGAAUUUAAUAUUCUAGUUCACUAAUAUGUUUUUAAAUAGUGAAAUUGCUAGUAAUAUACACUUUGAUUGUGACAUGCAUAUAUCAAUUUUUUACACUAAACAAUUUGUUUUAAAUUUAUUAAUAGUAUAAAUAAAUAAAACAAGAAUGGAAUUAUAAAUAAAAGAUAAUUACAAUAUUAUAUUAAGCAUACUAAUAGGAAAGUGACAUGAGAGAAGUAAAAAUAAUAAUAAAAAGAAAAUAAAAAUUAACAGAAAGUAGUGGAAAAAGAAAAAAAAAAAGAGAAAAAAAUGAAAAAACAAAAAAAUGAAACAAAUAGGAAGGGCAUUUUUAUCUUAAAAUGUCAAAGCAAAACUAAAUGUAAAAUUUAGGGGGGUUUAGUGCAUUUUAUUUGUGAAGCCAUUAGAUUGUCUAUAUACUUCUGUAAAAUUUAUUUUUGCUUAUAUUGCAAGUUCUUUGUGAGUGUAGAACAGUCGCCAUGUGGCUUAAACUUUGUGCUGAUUAGCUAAGUACGUUGAAUAGUGUAUAGCUCUGAGUUGUGCAAUUCAGCCUUGUGUCAAUUUGUAUUCAAAUUUUUAUCACAGAUUUCAUUGUUUGAAAAUAAAUUUCCCAUAUAUGUUCGGUUACUAAGAAAAAUAUUGAGAGAAUAUAGAAAGUAAAUGACAGUUAUUAGCAAUUAUUAAAACUUCUGUGAGUAACCAACUGUUUUCCUUCAAAAUCCUACAAAUUUUGCAAGACACAAAAUACAUGAAAAUGCGAGAAAAAUUUUCAAAAUUCUUGCCAACCAAACAUGCAAGAAUAGUGUAUAGCUCUGACUUAUGCUAUUCAGCCUUUUGUCAAUUGGUACGCAAAUUUUGAUCACAGAUUUCACAGUUUGAAAUUCAUGUCCAAUGAAAAGUUUUGUUGAUACAACAUAGGAUAUAACAAAUUUGAUACAAUAAAGGAUACAACAGCUUUACCAUGCAGGCACAUGACACGUCUAGAUCUAGACUGCCUGCCCAAAAGGGAUAAAGCAUCACAACAGGUAAGAAAUUUGGGAUGACAGCAGGUAAGAUAUUCCGAGUGUCAUGUGAGUUCCAAAAUAUUUGUUAAUGCAACAAGAAAUAAAAAUAAACAAAAAGCCUGUCUGCUCUAUGGAAUUCAUAUACAUUUUAGUAAGUAACAAAUUCUUGGCGCAACCCAAAAAAAAAGAUGGUCAUGAACAAGGUUCUUGUAGUAAUAAUUUUUUCCCCUCUGAUUUCGACAAUCAAAGUAAGCUGCUUUCAUUUGUCAUAUCCUUUAAUGCAAAUUCCCUUGCUAGUCAAGUUGUUCAUUGUCCACUAAACAAAAAUAUUCUUUUCCUUUAAACAAACCGGCUACAAUUGUUUUGGUGUCAGUCAAAAUUUUAUUUCUAAACAGACCGGCUACAAUUUGUUAAGAUACCCUAAUCACUUUUUUAUUUCACGUAUUCCUGCUCUAAAAAAUGUUAUGGUAAUAAUUUUUUCACAAAACUCAGGAAGAAAAAACAAAUUCAAAUGAAGCCACAGGGGAUAUCAAUUAUCGUAAAUUGGACAAUUUCAGGUUGCAAAACAAGUAUAGGGUAGAUUUUAUUUCAGACACAUUUAUGACAUUUUCCGUAAGGGAGAUGAACAAUCAAAGUACAUUUCUAAUAGUACAUAAGAAAUGUUGCAAAAAAGCUGGUAGGCAAACAUUGGUUAAUAUACUCCCUCGGUCCCAUAUUUCUUGUAUACGAUGACAAAUAUUUUGAAACAUUUCGAAAUGGAAAGCUACGGAGGGAAUAACAGUUUUGUUGCUACUCUG